Molecule: ribosomal RNA, 294 nt
Filed under: uncultured bacterium
Lineage: Bacteria
Description: partial 16S ribosomal RNA
Rfam family: Archaeal small subunit ribosomal RNA
Source: RNAcentral
GUUGCCAGCAGCCGCGGUAAUACCGGCAGCCCGAGUGAUGGCCGAUCUUAUUGGGCCUAAAGCGUCCGUAGCUGGCUGCGCAAGUCUGUCGGGAAAUCCACCUGCUCAACAGGUGGGCGUCCGGCGGAACCAGUGUGGCUUGGGACCGGGAGGCCUGAGGGGUACGAUCGGGGUAGGAGUGAAAUCCUGUAAUCCCGCUCGGACCGCCGAUGGGGAAACCACCUCAGGAGAACGGAUCCGACAGUGAGGGACGAAAGCCAGGGUCUCGAACCGGAUUAGAAACCCUGGUAGUCC